GUCUACGGCCAUACCACCCACCCUGAGUGCACCUGAUCUCGGAAGCUAAGCAGGGUCAGGCCUGGUUAGUACUUGGAUGGGAGAAAUGCCAGAGACCUGAGGGCU
Molecule: ribosomal RNA, 105 nt
Filed under: Prolemur simus (greater bamboo lemur)
Lineage: Eukaryota; Metazoa; Chordata; Mammalia; Primates; Lemuridae
Source: RNAcentral